Molecule: transfer RNA, 28 nt
Filed under: Pleuronectes platessa (European plaice)
Lineage: Eukaryota; Metazoa; Chordata; Actinopteri; Pleuronectiformes; Pleuronectidae
Description: partial tRNA-Pro
Source: RNAcentral
CUAGGAUUCUAGCAUUAAACUAUUCUUU